GACGAACGCUGGCGGCGUGCUUAACACAUGCAAGUCGAACGGAAAGGCCCUGCUUUUGUGGUGUGCUCGAGUGGCGAACGGGUGAGGAACACGUGAGUAACCUGCCCUUGACUUUGGGAUAACUUCAGGAAACUGGGGCUAAUACCGGAUAGGAGCUCCUGCUGCAUUGUGGGGGUUGGAAAGUUUCGGCGGUUGGGGAUGGACUCGCGGCUUAUCAGCUUGUUGGUGGGGUAGUGGCUUACCAAGGCUUUGACGGGUAGCCGGCCUGAGAGGGUGACCGGCCACAUUGGGCCUGAGAUACGGCCCAGACUCCUACGGGAGGCAGCAGUGGGGAAUAUUGCACAAUGGGAGGAAGCGUGAUGCAGAAACGCCGCGUGCGGGAUGACGGCCUUCGGGUUGUAAACCGCUUUAGCCUGUGACGAAGCGUGAGUGACGGUAAUGGGUAAAGAAGCACCGGCUAACUACGUG
RNAcentral lists this ribosomal RNA (468 nucleotides) under uncultured bacterium. RNAcentral describes it as "partial 16S ribosomal RNA". It matches the Rfam family "Bacterial small subunit ribosomal RNA", at positions 28 to 507 of the family's 1533-position model. The record is from RNAcentral.